Molecule: ribosomal RNA, 598 nt
Filed under: Haemophilus influenzae
Lineage: Bacteria; Pseudomonadati; Pseudomonadota; Gammaproteobacteria; Pasteurellales; Pasteurellaceae
Description: bacterial SSU rRNA
Rfam family: Bacterial small subunit ribosomal RNA
Source: RNAcentral
CUGACGAGUGGCGGACGGGUGAGUAAUGCUUGGGAAUCUGGCUUAUGGAGGGGGAUAACGACGGGAAACUGUCGCUAAUACCGCGUAUUAUCGGAAGAUGAAAGUGCGGGACUGAGAGGCCGCAUGCCAUAGGAUGAGCCCAAGUGGGAUUAGGUAGUUGGUGGGGUAAAUGCCUACCAAGCCUGCGAUCUCUAGCUGGUCUGAGAGGAUGACCAGCCACACUGGAACUGAGACACGGUCCAGACUCCUACGGGAGGCAGCAGUGGGGAAUAUUGCGCAAUGGGGGGAACCCUGACGCAGCCAUGCCGCGUGAAUGAAGAAGGCCUUCGGGUUGUAAAGUUCUUUCGGUAUUGAGGAAGGUUGAUGUGUUAAUAGCACAUCAAAUUGACGUUAAAUACAGAAGAAGCACCGGCUAACUCCGUGCCAGCAGCCGCGGUAAUACGGAGGGUGCGAGCGUUAAUCGGAAUAACUGGGCGUAAAGGGCACGCAGGCGGUUAUUUAAGUGAGGUGUGAAAGCCCCGGGCUUAACCUGGGAAUUGCAUUUCACACUGGGUAACUAGAGUACUUUAGGGAGGGGUAGAAUUCCACGUGUAGCGGU